This 497-nucleotide ribosomal RNA is filed under the name uncultured bacterium. RNAcentral describes it as "partial 16S ribosomal RNA". It matches the Rfam family "Bacterial small subunit ribosomal RNA", at positions 28 to 507 of the family's 1533-position model. The record is from RNAcentral.
GAUGAACGCUGGCGGCGUGCCUAAUACAUGCAAGUCGAGCGAACAGACGAGGAGCUUGCUCCUCUGACGUUAGCGGCGGACGGGUGAGUAACACGUGGAUAACCUACCUAUAAGACUGGGAUAACUUCGGGAAACCGGAGCUAAUACCGGAUAACAUGUUGAACCGCAUGGUUCAACAGUGAAAGACGGUCUUGCUGUCACUUAUAGAUGGAUCCGCGCCGCAUUAGCUAGUUGGUAAGGUAACGGCUUACCAAGGCAACGAUGCGUAGCCGACCUGAGAGGGGGGUGGGCCACACUAGAAGUGAACCCGGGCCCAGACUCCGCGGGGGGGCGGAAGAGGGAGUCUUCCCGCAAGGGGCGAGGACCGGACGGACCACCGCCGGGGGAGAAAAAAAGGUCUUCGUACCUAAAACCUCUUUUAUAGGGAAAAAAAAAAUGUGUAAGAACUUCUACACGUCUGGACGGUCCCUAACAAAAAGCCCAGGGCUAACCCCGUC